GAUGAACGCUGGCGGCGUGCCUAAUACAUGCAAGUCGAACGAGGUGCUUGAGUAGCAAUACAAGAGUAUCCUAGUGGCGAACGGGUGAGUAACGCGUGGAUGACCUGCCCCAAAGUGUGGGAUAACAGUCCGAAAGGAUUGCUAAUACCUCAUGUGGUUAUCGGAUUUAGAAACUGAUAACUAAAGCAGCAAUGCGCUUUGGGAGGGAUCUGCGUCCCAUCAGCUAGUUGGUGAGGUAAUGGCUCACCAAGGCGACGACGGGUAGGGGACCUGAGAGGGUGGCCCCCCANAAUGGAACUGAAACACGGUCCAUACACCUACGGGUGGCAGCAGUAGGGAAUAUUGCUCAAUGGGCGAAAGCCUGAAGCAGCAACGCCGCGUGUGCGAUGAAGGCCUGGUCGUAAGCACUUUCUUACGAGAUGAG
Molecule: ribosomal RNA, 424 nt
Filed under: uncultured bacterium
Lineage: Bacteria
Description: bacterial SSU rRNA
Rfam family: Bacterial small subunit ribosomal RNA
Source: RNAcentral